This 1093-nucleotide long non-coding RNA is filed under the name Lathyrus oleraceus (garden pea). RNAcentral describes it as "Pisum sativum (pea) long non-coding RNA (PSAT_LNC011941)". The record is from RNAcentral. Lineage: Eukaryota; Viridiplantae; Streptophyta; Magnoliopsida; Fabales; Fabaceae.
GCAAUAAAUGUCUGGGAUGGGCUUAGAGAUGCCAUCGUUAGGAGGAUAUCGAAGUGUUGUCAGAAUGAAUGUUCCCAUGAACUGUAUUUGAAAUAUGUAUCUGAAUCUUGAAUGUGAUUGAUAAAGGUGUCUGUCUGAAUGAACCUUCUACUUUGACUAUAUCAGGAGGAUAAUUAACCUGCAAAGAAAAAGUUAGCUUCAUGCUAUGUCAUGAUGCAUGAGAUGUUUCGUGUUAUGCUAAAAUAAAUGUGAAUGUUGUAUGCAUGCGUAUGCUGUGAAAGGAUGUAAUGAAUGAGUUAUGCGUAUGAGAAGUUCUGCUUGGGGACUCUACUGGGGAAAAUAAAUCCCCAUCUACUGAUUUGAGACAUUUGUGUCGAUGACCCUUUCUCGGCUGGGGAUGCUUGAUUUCUGUCUGAUGGUGGAAAUAUUCAGCAGAGUCGGGCUGGAGAUGGAUGAGAUGAUCAGCCUGUCUGGCGAUGCCGACCUCUGUUGGGGAAUAGCUGGCUGUGCCGGGGAAUACUGCCAAUUUCUUCUGGGAAAAAUAGGCUUGCUGGGGAAGAGAAUUGGUAGCGGAUUCAUUGGAAGCAUGGUUAGACCUUCUCCUCGAUCCUGAAGUCGGGUAGUAAUUGCUAUUGCUAUUCUACGCAUAUAUUUUGGUAAACAUUUAUCAUAUUCAAAUGCACAUAUUAAUUCAAAUUAAAUCAAUGGACAUUUACGCAACCAAAACAGAAAAGUAAAAACAAAAGCAUCUUUUUUUUGAAAGAGGGUUGUAUUGAUUUUGAAAGGAGGCCUAUAAACAGGCAAUUUGUGUACAAGGAGACAGAAAUCCUAGUAAGAGGAAAUUGUCGAAAACAAAGAGAAAGCUAUGUGGAAGAAGUCCUAUUGAUUUUAAGCCUACUACUGUCAUUAUGUCUUCGAGCAUCUCAUCCCUUGCUGUCGGAUAGAAGUGAUUGGCUUGGUCAGUCCCUCGAACUUGGAUGAAAGUUGACUGAGAACGGGACAUAGUCAUACGCUUUAAUCCCUAAUUUUUGCCUGGACCGCCUUUUCAGGUUUUCAGUCCACCAGGAUACCCUUUUUUGCCCAAGCCGCCUUU